UUUUUUCGUGUGCAAGGAUUUUAUUGAUUAAAUGCGUUUGAGUUAUACAGAGCCGAAAAUGAAAAAAUCUUUUCGGAUACAAAGCCGACGGGUACAUAGAAACCCCCAGAGACAUGAGGCCAAAAAAGGCGAACAAACAAAACAAGCCUUAAAAGAAAAUAUACAAAGAUAACAGUUACAAGUAAUAGGUAAAGCCUCCAAAACAACAACACUGAAAAUUCUUCCCAACAAGCAGCCGAUUAACACUUUCAUGGAACAGGUAACAGCUACCGAAGUAAUAGUUAAAGUCUCCAUUUUCUUCUGUUUUAUA
This 310-nucleotide small RNA is filed under the name Arabidopsis thaliana (thale cress). Its description in RNAcentral is "ATSL108270". The record is from RNAcentral. Lineage: Eukaryota; Viridiplantae; Streptophyta; Magnoliopsida; Brassicales; Brassicaceae.